RNA transcript from Zea mays, 146 nucleotides. It is a transcript of the gene named peptidyl-prolyl cis-trans isomerase superfamily pseudogene, with no coding region annotated. Lineage: Eukaryota; Viridiplantae; Streptophyta; Magnoliopsida; Poales; Poaceae. The transcript is spliced from 2 exons. The record is from RefSeq and is marked validated.
UGCAGACUCUCUUGAAAUAUAUUAAGGAGAAUAACCCUGACAAACUUUCUAUAGCACUUGCUUCAUCACUUGACACUGUUGCUGAAUUGGAGCUGUUACAGGCUCCUGGUCUGUCCUUUCUCCUGCCUCAACAGUAUAUAGAAUAU